CUAGCCGUAAACGAUGGAUACUAGGCGUUGUGAGUAUCGACCCUCACAGUGUCGUAGCUAACGCGUUAAGUAUCCCGCCUGGGGAGUACGCGCGCAAGCGUGAAACUCAAAGGAACUGACGGGGGCCCGCACAAGCGGUGGAGUAUGUGGUUUAAUUCGAUGCAACGCGAAGAACCUUACCAGGACUUGACAUGUCGCGAAUCUCAGGGAAACUUGAGAGUGCCUUCGGGAGCGCGAACACAGGUGGUGC
RNAcentral lists this ribosomal RNA (250 nucleotides) under uncultured Chroococcidiopsis sp. Its description in RNAcentral is "partial 16S ribosomal RNA". It matches the Rfam family "Bacterial small subunit ribosomal RNA", at positions 796 to 1044 of the family's 1533-position model. Lineage: Bacteria; Bacillati; Cyanobacteriota; Cyanophyceae; Chroococcidiopsidales; Chroococcidiopsidaceae. The record is from RNAcentral.